This 76-nucleotide transfer RNA is filed under the name uncultured Conexibacteraceae bacterium. RNAcentral's name for it is "tRNA-Thr". It matches the Rfam family "tRNA". From Rfam's summary of the family: Transfer RNA (tRNA) molecules are approximately 80 nucleotides in length. Their secondary structure includes four short double-helical elements and three loops (D, anti-codon, and T loops). Further hydrogen bonds mediate the characteristic L-shaped molecular structure. tRNAs have two regions of fundamental functional importance: the anti-codon, which is responsible for specific mRNA codon recognition, and the 3' end, to which the tRNAs corresponding amino acid is attached (by aminoacyl-tRNA synthetases). tRNAs cope with the degeneracy of the genetic code in two manners: having more than one tRNA (with a specific anti-codon) for a particular amino acid; and 'wobble' base-pairing, i.e. permitting non-standard base-pairing at the 3rd anti-codon position. The record is from RNAcentral. Lineage: Bacteria; Bacillati; Actinomycetota; Thermoleophilia; Solirubrobacterales; Conexibacteraceae.
AGCCGACGUAGCUCAGUUGGUAGAGCACUUCACUCGUAAUGAAGGGGUCCCCGGUUCGAAUCCGGGCGUCGGCUUC